CUAGAGUAUUAAUAGUUAUUUUCUUUAAACUUAAAAAAUUUGGCGGUAUUUUAAUCUAUUCAGAGGAACUUGUUCUUUAAUCGAUAAUCCACGAUGGACCUUACUUGGUUUUGUUAAUUAGUUUGUAUACCGUCGUUAUAGAAAAUUUUAUUAGAAUAAUAAUUUUCAAUAAAUUUAAUUGAAUUUAAUAUCAGAUCAAGGUGCAGCUUAUAAUCAAGAAAGUAAUGAGUUACAAUAAAAUAAUUUAAAUGGAUAUAAAUAUGAAAAAUUUAUUGAAAGUGGAUUUGAAAGUAAAAUUAUAUAGAUUAAUAAUUUGAUUUUAGCUCUAAAAUAUGUACAUAUCGCCCGUCACUCUUACUUAUUAAGGUAAGAUAAGUCGUAA
RNAcentral lists this ribosomal RNA (382 nucleotides) under Borophaga verticalis. Its description in RNAcentral is "partial 12S ribosomal RNA". The record is from RNAcentral. Lineage: Eukaryota; Metazoa; Arthropoda; Insecta; Diptera; Phoridae.